GAAACUAUAGUCAAUUUAUGAUAUGUAAUUUGCACUUACAAGUAGUUUUUAUACUAGUUUCG
RNAcentral lists this transfer RNA (62 nucleotides) under Somanniathelphusa boyangensis. RNAcentral's name for it is "tRNA-Ala". Lineage: Eukaryota; Metazoa; Arthropoda; Malacostraca; Decapoda; Parathelphusidae. The record is from RNAcentral. RNAcentral also lists the same sequence under 1 other name.